GGGUUUAAAGUGUGCGUAGGCGGGUAUUUAAGUCAGUGGUGAAAUCCUAGAGCUUAACUCUAGAACUGCCAUUGAUACUAUUUAUCUUGAAUAUUGUGGAGGUAAGCGGAAUAUGUCAUGUAGCGGUGAAAUGCUUAGAUAUGACAUAGAACACCUAUUGCGAAGGCAGCUUACUACGCAUAUAUUGACGCUGAGGCACGAAAGCGUGGGGAUCAAACAGGAUUAGAUACCCUGGUAGUCCACGCCCUAAACGAUGGAUACUCGACAUACGCGAUACACUGUGUGUGUCUGAGCGAAAGCAUUAAGUAUCCCACCUGGGAAGUACGACCGCAAGGUUGAAACU
This 343-nucleotide ribosomal RNA is filed under the name uncultured bacterium. Its description in RNAcentral is "bacterial SSU rRNA". It matches the Rfam family "Bacterial small subunit ribosomal RNA", at positions 556 to 901 of the family's 1533-position model. The record is from RNAcentral.